RNAcentral lists this microRNA (21 nucleotides) under Bos taurus (domestic cattle). RNAcentral's name for it is "Bta-Mir-506-P2b1_5p (mature (guide))". The record is from RNAcentral. Lineage: Eukaryota; Metazoa; Chordata; Mammalia; Artiodactyla; Bovidae.
CACUUCAGGAAGUGCCAUCCA